This 64-nucleotide transfer RNA is filed under the name Psylliodes laevicollis. Its description in RNAcentral is "tRNA-Tyr". It matches the Rfam family "tRNA". Rfam says of the family: Transfer RNA (tRNA) molecules are approximately 80 nucleotides in length. Their secondary structure includes four short double-helical elements and three loops (D, anti-codon, and T loops). The record is from RNAcentral. Lineage: Eukaryota; Metazoa; Arthropoda; Insecta; Coleoptera; Chrysomelidae.
GGUAAAAUGGCUGAGUUAUAGGCGAUAAAUUGUAAAUUUAUUAACGAAUUUGAUUCUUUUACCA